Molecule: long non-coding RNA, 634 nt
Filed under: Heterocephalus glaber (naked mole-rat)
Lineage: Eukaryota; Metazoa; Chordata; Mammalia; Rodentia; Bathyergidae
Description: lncRNA (ENSHGLG00000039504.1)
Source: RNAcentral
CCUUCUGUGCCUCGAUUUCCUCCUCUGUGAAAGGCCAGUCAUAGAAGAAGCCGCCUGUUUCAAGGGAAAAUGUGGCCUGAACCACGGACCCCUUUUUCUCUCAGCUGUCAGAACAUGAAUUUGUUCUGUCUCACGGGGCAGUGAGGGAAGUGCUCCAACUCCUGGGAGAGAAAUAUCUCAUGGGAAGGGGCUGCGCUUCAACAAAUGUGCCUGUCCCCUCCCCAUCCCGAGGCAUCACCAGCCCUGCACAGUCACCCUACAGUCUGUGGCCUUGGAAUUCUACUCAACCUCCCUGGAACUCAGUUUCCUCAAUCGUCAAGUGAGAAUGCUGACACUGCCCACUCCCUGAGGUGUUGGGAGAUGCUGAGAAUCAAGCAUUAUCAUAGAUCAGUCGUGAGUUUUUAAAAAAAAAAAAACGACGCCAAAAGGUUACAGAUGCGGCCAGAACAGCGGAGAGCAGCCCCCCAAGUCAGCGGCAGAGGCGGGAGCCCACACAGGAGGCCGAGCCGUCCACUUCCUGCCCUUCCACGGGAAAGAAAAGGAGCCCACAGGGCCCGCGGGCCACGUCCCGCUGAAGUCUCAUCAGCUCGCUUGACAAACUGAAACAUUAAAAAUAUUUUAGGCUGGAGUGGCU